This 253-nucleotide ribosomal RNA is filed under the name uncultured bacterium. RNAcentral describes it as "partial 16S ribosomal RNA". It matches the Rfam family "Bacterial small subunit ribosomal RNA", at positions 524 to 776 of the family's 1533-position model. The record is from RNAcentral.
UACAGAGGUCCCAAGCGUUGUUCGGAUUCACUGGGCGUAAAGGGUGCGUAGGUGGUGAGGUAAGUCGGAUGUGAAAGCUCGGAGCUCAACUCCGAAAUGGCAUUGGAAACUACCUUGCUCGAGGGUUGGAGGGGGGACUGGAAUACUUGGUGUAGCAGUGAAAUGCGUAGAUAUCAAGUGGAACACCAGUGGCGAAGGCGAGUCCCUGGACAACUCCUGACACUGAGGCACGAAAGCGUGGGGAGCAAACAGG